AGGCUGGAAGAGAAACGCGGGGCCGCCGGUCAGGCUGCAGCCUUGGAGGCUCGAAGUUUAGGACGGACCGCCACCCAGCCAGCUUCCAGUGGGGCACAGCGGGGAUUCCUGUGGGGAUGUCUGCGUUUGGGCCUGAUGCUCACCGGCCUAAAACGUGUCAGCGGGAGGCAAGGAAGCGCCGGCAGCGACGCCGUAAGCGGCAUUAGGUUACAGGCAGCGCGGUGCUGCUCGCCGCCCGGCCGCGCGCACCCACCUACCCCGCCCGCCCAGGGGCGCCCACCCCGUGCCCGCCACUUGCCCCGCAACCAGCGCCCGAAGGCGGCCCGCUCCCGGCGGCGAGGCCGGCGCAGCUCGGCCAGCUCUACGCUCACCCCGCCGUACUUGUCCGGCCGAGGCCGCAGCCCGCCCCAGCCCCCCGCCGCCGGGCCCCGGCCUCGCGCCCCGCGCAGCGCCCGCCACAGCGCCGGCCCCGCCAUGGUGCAGCGGGAAGCGGCCGCCCCGGGGGCGGAGCCGGCCUUUGCCUCCGGAAGCGCUCCGCGGCGGCCGGCGAGCAGCAUGGCCGCCCGGCGAAGGAGCAGGGGACGGCCGGCCCCGGGCGGGAGCUCCCCGCUGGCCGGCGGGACCGAGGGCGGGCCGCCGCUGCUGGGCGUCGCAGAGGCGGUGCAGGCAGAAGAUGACAAAGUCCCCAAGAUGUUCCGGAGAGCCCUGGCGCAGCUGUCUCUGAACAGCAUGAAGGCCGCCAACAUCUGCAUCGGUCGCCCGGUGCUGCUCACGGCGGCGGGAGGAAGGCAGGAGGUCUGCACAGCCUGGCCCACCCCAGGCUUUCCAGGUGGGAAGAUUGGGCUGAGCGACACCACACAGAAGAACCUGGGAGUCAGUGUGGGUGAUGCCAUCACCGUGCAGCCCGUGACUGGUGCGGUCAUCCAGGCAGAGGAAGUUGCUGUGAAGCUGAGGGACAAAGAUGCCUGUAUUAAUGCUGAGGAAAUGUCUGUCUGUCUGCUGAGAAACUUAGAUGGGAAAGUUGUUUUACCAGAAAAUCUCCUGGCAUUCAGUUUCUAUGGCAAACUGUGUAACGUUGUGGUGAUGAAGGUGAAGGGGACUGACAGUGUGGAGCUGCAUGCCCAGGCUGGUGCAAUUUCCAGCGAGGUGUGUGAGCCAGACCUGGAGAAAUCUGACUUGGAGAUGAGCGCGCUGGAUCUUUCCUUACAGCUCAGCAGGAUGGACAUUGAUGAAGAUCCAGAGGCUGCAUCUGCGAGCACUCCAUGCAAACCUGCGUGUCUGGGUUCACCAGUUACACCCAGUUCUGCUGUGGCAGCCACUGGUCAAGGCUCUGCUCAGGGAGAUGAAGCCAGCAGCAGGGAGGAUGCUGCAGACCUGGAGCUGCCCAGGAAAGGAGGCAGUGAGGGGCUUCCAUCGGCUGCCAAACCUGGAGCAUUCAGCAGCACAGACACUUUUUAUUACAUUUCUUCAAGAACUAGAAUCAAUUUUAUAGAAGCUAGGACGAACAUAGCAGAAGAUAGUGAUCAUGGACCCCAAGUUACCUAUGACAUGAUAGGAGGUUUAAGCAGCCAGCUCAAAACCAUUAGAGAAACGGUUGAACUGCCCCUGAAGCGAGCUGAACUGUUCAAGAGUUACGGAAUCUCACCUCCUAGAGGAGUGCUGUUGUAUGGCCCUCCAGGUACCGGGAAGACUCUAAUUGCCAAAGCCAUCGCAAAUGAGGUUGGCGCCCACGUAACUGUUAUUAAUGGUCCUGAAAUAAUAAGCAAGUUUUAUGGAGAAUCUGAAUCAAGAUUACGUCAGAUAUUUGCUGAAGCUUCUUUACGUCGUCCUUCUAUUAUAUUUAUAGAUGAGUUGGAUGCACUCUGUCCAAAGAGAGAAGGGGCUCAGAAUGAAGUGGAGAAGAGAGUUGUAGCUUCCUUGCUGACAUUAAUGGAUGGCAUUGGCUCAGAAGGCAGUGAAGGGCAGCUCGUGGUACUAGGGGCCACCAAUCGUCCUCAUGCGCUAGAUGCAGCACUGCGCAGACCCGGCCGUUUUGAUAAAGAAAUAGAAAUAGGAAUUCCCAAUGCCCAGGGCCGCCUGGACAUACUCCAAAAGCUUCUGAAGAAGGUUCCCCAUUCUCUCACAGCAGCAGAGAUGAUGCAACUGGCUGACAGUGCACAUGGUUAUGUGGGGGCUGACUUAGCAGCCUUGUGCAAGGAAGCAGGUCUGUACGCGCUGCGGAGAGCUCUGGGGAAGAGAGCUCACCCCUCAGACACCGAGGUGGCUGGGUCAGUGAUGAUUGCUUUCAAUGACUUCCUGCAGGGGAUGAAGGAUGUCAGGCCCAGCGCCAUGAGGGAGGUGGCAGUCGAUGUGCCAAAAGUAUCUUGGUCAGACAUAGGAGGACUAGAAGAUGUCAAGCUGAAAUUGAAGCAGGCGGUUGAAUGGCCUCUCAAGCAUCCCGACUCCUUCAUCCGAAUGGGGAUUCAGCCUCCAAAAGGUGUGCUGCUUUACGGACCUCCUGGAUGCUCAAAAACAAUGAUAGCAAAAGCUCUGGCUCAUGAAAGUGGCCUCAACUUCUUGGCAGUGAAGGGACCUGAACUGAUGAAUAAAUAUGUUGGUGAGUCGGAACGAGCAGUGAGAGAGAUCUUUAGGAAAGCCAGAAUGGUGUCUCCUUCGAUUCUUUUCUUUGAUGAAAUAGAUGCCUUGGCAGUUGAAAGGGGAAACUCUUCGGGUGCUGGAAAUGUAGCAGACCGUGUCUUGGCUCAGCUGUUGACAGAAAUGGAUGGGAUAGAGCAGCUGAAGGACGUGACAAUUCUGGCAGCUACAAACAGGCCGGACAUGAUAGACAAGGCUUUGCUGAGACCAGGAAGAAUAGACAGAAUUAUCUAUGUGCCCUUGCCAGAUGCAGCCACUCGUGGGGAGAUCUUCAGACUUCAUUUUCGGUCCAUGCCAGUCAGUGAGGAAAUCUGCUUAGCAGAGCUUAUUCAGCGCACCCACAAGUAUUCAGGAGCAGAGGGAUGCUUUCUUGAAAGGAGUGAGGAAAAGAGGGAGAACUCUCCUUCCUUUGCUGGCUCUCCUCUUCUUAUUUAACUUUGCAUUAUGCUGUCCUGCCUAGCCAAGAAAGGAGAGGGAGGAAACCCACGAGACCAGGAAGGUUUUUGCAAUAACAUGGCACAAACUGAGGAGUUUCUGAAUACGAAGGAGAGGAAAUGGAAGAAUUUUCUAAGAUCUGUUACUGUAGGAGUAACAAACAGAUCCAGUUACCCAGAAUUCUUAUGUGAUUUUCAGACAUAACAUGGAGUCAAUCUUUUCAGCUGCAGGAGGGCACUCAAAUGAUAUCCUUUAAUGUUUACACUGCAACAGCAGGUGUUGUGUUGAUCUUGUCACUCACAGCAUUUCCUUGAAGGAGUAAUAACCAUGCACAGAGGGAUUUACCUUUGGCAACAACAUUGCUUCCUAGGUCUGACUGCACUCCCAGCCCUGCUCUGCCCCUAGAAUGAAGGUAUGUAGUCCUCUGAUUUUCUUGGGAAACAUGAGCAGCUGGGUACCAUGGGAAGCUCCAAGAGGUAAACUUAGAAACAAUCUGAAAUUCCUCUAUCACUCUGCCAAGGAAAUAGAUACUCCAUUGGAGACAUCUCUCACCUUCCAGGAACUGAGAUCCAAUAAAUGAAAAGCAAGGGAGCUCCCAUUAAGGACAUUAUUCAUCUUUCAGUCUAAAAGCCCUACACAACAAAUGUCUUUUCCCACUCUCUGCCUCAACUCAGGAUAUGUAUGCAUGUGUUAAUAGCGAUGCAGAAAAAAACAGAAAGUAUUACAUCCCUUUUAUUCUCGUUAUCCUAUGAUCUGUAUGCUUUAUAUCCAACAGAUGAAACAGAAGGACUACAGAAGAUUUCCUAAACUUUCUGGCCAUUAUUUUUCACUGAGUUUCUUUGCAUUUACUAUAUUAUGUAUUACUGUAUUAUGAUAUCUCAUGCAUAGGAAACUAUAAAUACAUUUGCUGAUAACUUGGUAUACCGUAUCCAAACCAGAGAUAGCAUUUGCCACAGUGGAAGGUCUAAAAACAGGAUGAAAACAGGAUUUCCAAAACCAUGAAAAAUAUAUAUAUAUUUUUUCUGCUUUUUGCCGAGUGGAUUCAGCCAUCUUUUACUGGUGACAUAAUGUAACAGAAAUGCUACUGGGGCUGAAACGAGUUGAAAGACAGUUCUAGACUGGCUGAGUUCUACUGACAAAAGAAUAAAUAUUUUUAGGGAAGGGAGGACACGUCUCCCAGUUCCUUUUGCAGAAUUGAAUUUAUUUGCUUUGUUUUGAUAGGAGUCUAAGACCUCUGCUUCUCUCCCAGGUUAAACUUGAGAAAGGAAACACUGGCUUGAGAAGCAAAAGCAUUAAUUAUUUUUCAAUGCAAGAAACUUGGAAUAUGCUGAAUGUGUUGCUCAGCCUCAUCAUCUGAAAGAAGCCGAGCAAACAAAAGAGUUAAUUAAUGCCCAUACACUGAUAGGUUUCCUAAGGUGGAAGCUGACAAAUCUGUUUUGUUGCUUUCCUUUUGUUUUGCUUUUCUAGAGAGAAACUUACGAUGGCUACAGCUAAUGAUCUCCUCCAAGUCUUUUACAUUUUUAGUUGAAUAAUUCAAUCCACCUUGCUAGCGGCAUUCAGCAAAAUAGCACUGGCUUAAUGUGCAGAUCCUCUAUGGUAACAGCAUGCUCUGAGUGAGAACACAGUAUUCUGUUAAUUACUUUUAAUUAAAAUGAACACGCACAUAUGUAUGUGUACAUACAGAAAGACUGUUUUUCUAGUGGCUUGGCUUCCUUUUUCUCACUGAAGGGAAGAAGUUAAACUUUCUCAUUAAAUGUUUAUAUAAAAAUGAAAUAAUUCUGAGGUUAACCAGAAAUGCAGCUUAAUCUUGUAUAGAAACAUGUGUGUGAUUCUUUUUUCAGUUGCACAAAUAUAGCUGAAACUUGAAGUUGGCAGAGAGUGCUGUUUAAAAAUAUUUAGUCCCAGCAUGUAAAAACUCGUUUUGUUACGGAAUUCCUUUGUGAAAGGUGUAGCUAUGACAUGUCUCAGCCAAAGUGAUGGGAUCCAUAUCGGCACAGUACGUUUUGGAAACUAGCUGCAUUUUGGGCUUGUAGUUACAGAAGUUAAAUUGGAAUUUACAUGUUUUAUAUAUUGCUUGGAAGGAUACCACAUCUAGUAACAUUUUUAAGAGAGUGGAAAGAAGAAUAAAGAAAGCUUACAGAUGGGUUCGAAGGUUCGCUCUGUUAGAACAUGUCGGGAUGAGUAGAGGUAUGUAUGAUGACACUUAGCAUGUACCACUGAAGGCUCUGGUUUAUUCUCACUAGCUGUCAUCAUGUGUUAUAGUUAUGAUACAUAUGCUUAAUUUUGGCUACUUACCUUAUCUCUUCCUUAUUUUUUUUCUGGGUGUGUUUGAACUUCAUAGAAUAUCAAGAGCUACUGAUAUGUGUGAUACUGUCUGCUGCCCAUGCACAGCCCUGCUCAGUUUUUGAACCUGUAUGAGCAGUUGCAUGCAGCAUUUUGUGGCCAUUGGUUGCUGCCCCGUGAGAGCACAGAACCAGUGGCCUGGCUCAGUCCCUCACUGGUGUGCCAGGUGCUAUGACCAAAGUAAGCAGACAAACAUGAAGCCUAGCCCUCCUGGCUGAGACCAGGAGGAGGCCAUCGUCUCUAUUGCAGCCACCAGAGUAGUUGUGGCCACCAUGGAAAGAUCCAAGGGGACCUCUGUCCUGCUCAGACUGGGUGUACUCAGGUGGAACGAAAACUUAAUGUCCCUGGUGCAGAUCAUCAGGUAGGCUCUGGACACAUGCACAUGUAGUGACAAGUGCAUUGAUCUGUGAAGUUACACAAAUAAGCACACUAUAGAUUAAAGACUAAGUGAAGACUUCACCCUGUCUAUUCUGUCGUCACCUAUAGCGAUCGUUAAAGGUGCUGGUUUUGUUCAAUUGCAUUUCCUUAACAACCUCUCAUAAAAGAAAUCAGGAAUAACAGGGAUAGUUUGCUUGGAUUGUUGGAUCAGAGACACACAUAAUACCCAUCCUUUUUAUUUAAGAAUUGCAAACGUGCUUGCUUCUUCCUCUCUGUUUUAAAGUAACUGUCCAAUGUCAACUCUCAUUAAAUGUCUCUUUAAUAAACAA
This is an RNA transcript of Gallus gallus (chicken), 6119 nucleotides long. It is a transcript of the gene named spermatogenesis associated 5, with no coding region annotated. NCBI's taxonomy places the organism in Eukaryota, Metazoa, Chordata, Aves, Galliformes, Phasianidae. The transcript has 18 exons. The record is from RefSeq and is a predicted model, not a curated record.